UCUAUCAAUCAUCAAAUCAAUUAACUCAUUUAUAAUUAUAAUAAUUAAAAUAUUUUAAUUAUCGACUUUGCUCUAUAACAUUAUUAUACUACUGUGCGUUUGCUGUUUAUAGUUUAUUUAGUUAUCCAAUUUAUUAAAGUGUAGCGAAAACUGUGUCACGUAUAAUGUUUAAUAUUUGACAUAAAACUUUGUUUUAUUAUUUUUUUAUUGUAUAUAAGCGCCGGUGUAUACAAAGUACAAAGAAAAAAAAAGUUUAUAAAUAAAAAAUGCAGAAUAAAUGUUGACUAAAUAAAAAUAUAAACUCACAAGCGGUAGUUAUAUAGUGUUACAGUAGCUUUAGGUGAGUGAAAGAAUAAAAUAAAAAAAAGUAAAAAAAAACACAUAUUAUAAAGUAAAGGACAAACUUUGAAUGAAAAAUAGUGUUUGUUCAACGGUAUGAGAUUAAGAUAUUUUAAAUAACUUAAUAAUAUUGAGGAUAAUUAUAAAAGGCCUUGUUAUAUUAUACCGAGAGCCAGGUGAAUAUCGAUUUGAAAAUGCAUUUUUAAUGUUAUUAUUUCUCAUUGUUGAAAAAAAAAGUGAAUGAAAUAAUAGCAGGAAAGUGAAUAUUGAUUGGAUGAAUUUUAAUUUAAAAAUAAAAACACAAUUGUCGAGAUAUCCGUUUGAUAAAUGUAUCCAUGACCUCAUUAUUCAAUUGUGUUUGAGAAUCACUUUACAGAUUAUUCCACCUUCAGACAUCUGAACAUCUAUUGUUUCGCGGUACUAAAGUGUAGUGCUCAGACUUAAUCGUUCUGAAUGAAUGAGAGAAAUAAUAAUCGACUUUAAACUAUGAAGGAGAAGAAGAAAGCUGAAAAAUUGUUAGAAAAAAAAAAAAAAAAAAAAAAAAAAAAACAAGAAGAAGUAAUUAAAAAAGGUAAAAGUUUGUCAGCCACGACGUUUUUUCCUGUUUGAAUUAGCAUUGUAUUCACGAGUAGAUGGACUGUCAAGGGUCGGGCCAUUCUUUGAGAGGGAUUUCUGUUGAAGCUGAGAACUGCCGGGAAAGGCACAGCCAAUAGACAACAUAUAGAUACUGCAGAUUUGCUUCAUCCCCCGGGGAUCAAGGAUAAUAGACUAGAUCAUAUAUCUAUAUUUAUACUUUAUACAUAUAAAUGUGUAUACUAUUACUUAUAC
Long non-coding RNA from Cotesia glomerata, 1167 nucleotides. RefSeq lists it as uncharacterized. The transcript has 2 exons. Lineage: Eukaryota; Metazoa; Arthropoda; Insecta; Hymenoptera; Braconidae. The record is from RefSeq and is a predicted model, not a curated record.